This 396-nucleotide long non-coding RNA is filed under the name Trifolium pratense (red clover). RNAcentral describes it as "long non-coding RNA (TPRA_LNC010002)". The record is from RNAcentral. Lineage: Eukaryota; Viridiplantae; Streptophyta; Magnoliopsida; Fabales; Fabaceae.
CAUGCUAAUCCUAUAAACCUCAUAAAACCCUCACCGAAACCAUAAAUCUCACACAAAUCGAUAUUACCGUUAUCUUCAAUUGCUUAAUUCAGACGAUUUCAAGCUACAGAAAAACUAAAACACCGAGAUGCAAGCAGAAACCCUUGCAACAGCGAAUACAAUAACAGAGCAACAAUUGACUCUGUUAAUUCCCGUGGGAGUGGAAAGUGAAGCAACAGAUGAAACGAGUGGAGAAUUUGUAGCGAAAUUGGAAUUCAAUUUUGAAAACUGAAGAAACGAAGUUACCAAAAUUGAACGAACGCGAUGAAGAUGUGAACGUGAUUCUUCAAAGCGUAGGAGAGAGUUGAAUCGAUGAUUUCCGCGGUGGAUCUUUGAAGCUUUGUUAAAACGACGGCG